RNAcentral lists this microRNA precursor (76 nucleotides) under Heliconius melpomene (postman butterfly). RNAcentral describes it as "mir-971 microRNA precursor family". It matches the Rfam family "mir-971 microRNA precursor family". Lineage: Eukaryota; Metazoa; Arthropoda; Insecta; Lepidoptera; Nymphalidae. The record is from Rfam by way of RNAcentral.
CGACCGGCUCACUCUAAGUAUGAACGCCAAGCGUAUUGCAUAAAGCUUGGUGUUCUACCUUACAGUGAACUGUACG